CUUCGGGGAUGAUUAAACCGGCGCACGGGUGAGUAACACGUGAGUGAUCUGCCUUUUAGACUGGAACAACUUACCGAAAGGUGAGCUAAUGCCGGAUGAGUUAUAUAAGUGCAUGUUUAUAUAGGAAAAGUUGGGGAGACCUGACGCUGAAAGAUGGACUCGCGUCCCAUUAGCUAGUUGGUAGGGUAAUGGCCUACCAAGGCGACGAUGGGUAGCCGGCCUGAGAGGGUGGCCGGCCACACUGGGACUGAGACACGGCCCAGACUCCUACGGGAGGCAGCAGUGGGGAAUUUUGCGCAAUGCUCGUAAGAGUGACGCAGCGACGCCGCGUGAAUGACGAAGGCCUUCGGGUCGUAAAGUUCUUUCGACAGGGAAGAAAAUGCCUAUAAGUAACUGUGUAUGUAUUGACGGUACCUGUAUAAGCAGCCCCGGCUAACUCCGUGCCAGCAGCCGCGGUAAUACGGAGGGGGCGAGCGUUGUUCGGAGUGACUGGGCGUAAAGAGCACGUAGGCGGUGUUGUAAGUCAUUAGUCAAAGACUAGAGCUCAACUUUAGUAAGGCUAGUGAUACUAUAAUACUAGAGUAUCAGAGAGGAUUGCAGAAUUCCUGGUGUAGCGGUGAAAUGCGUAGAUAUCAGGAGGAAUACCGUUAGCGAAGGCGGCAAUCUGGCUGGAAACUGACGCUGAGGUGCGAAAGCGUGGGUAGCAAACAGGAUUAGAUACCCUGGUAGUCCACGCUGUAAACGAUGGAUGCUAGGUGUUGGGCUUUUAAGUUCAGU
Molecule: ribosomal RNA, 777 nt
Filed under: uncultured bacterium
Lineage: Bacteria
Description: bacterial SSU rRNA
Rfam family: Bacterial small subunit ribosomal RNA
Source: RNAcentral